This 943-nucleotide ribosomal RNA is filed under the name Cantharellus cibarius (golden chanterelle). RNAcentral describes it as "eukaryotic LSU rRNA". It matches the Rfam family "Eukaryotic large subunit ribosomal RNA", at positions 22 to 978 of the family's 3401-position model. Lineage: Eukaryota; Fungi; Basidiomycota; Agaricomycetes; Cantharellales; Hydnaceae. The record is from RNAcentral.
UACCCGCUGAACUUAAGCAUAUCACUAAGCGGAGGAAAAGAAACUAACUAGGAUUCCCCCAGUAACUGCGAGUGAAGAGGGAAGAGCUCAUCAUUGGAAUCUGGCAGUGUUUCACUGUCCGAGUUGUAGAUGAGGAGUAGUCCGUCUGGACUGCAUGGCGUCCAAGUACAAUAGGCCGUCAGUGGGACAUCAUAGAGGGUGACAAUCCCGUCCUUGACGCCAAUGUGCAAGUCUAUUACGAUGGCUAUCUCAGAGAGUCGAGCAGUUUGGGAUUUGCUGCUUAAACAUGGGAGGUAGAUUCCUUCUAAAGCUAAAUACAGGCGAGAGACCGAUAGAGAACAAGUACCGCAAGGGAAAGAUGAAAUAGCACUCUGUGAAGGGAGUCAAAAGGCGUGAAAUUGUUGCGAGAGAAGCGAUUCAAGUCAGCGUAGCUAGGCCCAUCAAGCGUCUUCGCUUUGGACUAGCUUUGCCAGCGGUCUUGUCCCUUAAAGAGACUUGACUUGUAAUAUGUCCAGCCUGGCGUGCACAGGCAGCCCCUUCUGGGGGCCAGUGACAUGGCUGGUGGAAUGGCUUGCAAUCGACCCGUCUUGAAACACGGACCAAGGAGUCUAACAUGUAUGCGAGUAUAAGGGUGGCAAACCCGUAUGCGCAAUGAAAGUGAUUUUCGGUGAUUGAGAAUGGCCUGAUGACCAGACAAGCAAUAUAUGUCCCUCGUACGGCCAUUGCCCAAGUUCCGUGGUAGAUCCCACGAACAUGGAGUUGGAGCAUACAUGCUAGGACCCGAAAGAUGGUGAACUAUGCCUGGACAAAGCGAAGCCAAAGGAAACUCUGGUGGAGGCUUGUAGCGAUUCUGACGUGCAAAUCGAUCGUCUGAUCUGGGUAUAGGGGCGAAAGACUAAUCGAACCAUCUCAUAGCUGGUUCCUGCCGAAGUUUCCCUCAGGA